RNAcentral lists this unclassified non-coding RNA (240 nucleotides) under soil metagenome. RNAcentral's name for it is "partial contains 5.8S ribosomal RNA, internal transcribed spacer 2, and large subunit ribosomal RNA". The record is from RNAcentral.
AACCUAGCACACCUGCGGUGUGUACCUGCGGAAGGAUCAUUACAGAGUUCGUGCCCUCGCGGGUAGAUCUCCCACCCUUGUGUAUUUUCUACAUUUUGUUGCUUUGGCAGGCCGUUGGUUCGCCAACCACCGGCUCGCGGGCUGGUGCGUGCCUGCCAGAGGACCUCUCAAACUCGGUUUGUCAGUGUCGUCUGAGUACCAUAACAAUCGUUAAAACUUUCAACAAUGGAUCUCAGAUCG